This is a long non-coding RNA of Octopus sinensis (East Asian common octopus), 273 nucleotides long. RefSeq lists it as uncharacterized. NCBI's taxonomy places the organism in Eukaryota, Metazoa, Mollusca, Cephalopoda, Octopoda, Octopodidae. The record is from RefSeq and is a predicted model, not a curated record. The transcript is spliced from 3 exons.
UUAAUCUUUAGUUACAGUUUCUCAUUGAAACUACAUAAUAGGCAGAAUUAUCGGAUUAAGGCAGCAGGGUGUUUUGAGGGAGAUUUGGCUGCUAUUUCAACCAGGCCUAGCUACCAUGUACAGGUCUGAACUUAAUUUUUAUUAACAUAUGCCUAACCGAAAACGAUCAUAGCCACAUCAUCCAAACUGACUGGGUAAAACCGAGCUUAGCUGCUAGUACACAUAUAUAUAUUUUCAUAUGGAUUUUAAUUUCUUGAAAUUAUCACUUCUUUU